This 553-nucleotide long non-coding RNA is filed under the name Bos taurus (domestic cattle). RNAcentral describes it as "long non-coding RNA NONBTAT007501". The record is from RNAcentral. Lineage: Eukaryota; Metazoa; Chordata; Mammalia; Artiodactyla; Bovidae.
CCAUUAUAGAUAAAGAACUAUAAUAAACCCUUUCAUUUAGAGACAAGUGUAAAAAUCUUUUCCUCUAGUAGUUUUUAAGUCUAAUAAGGAAUAUGACAGAAGUAAUUAUAGUAUGCAGAUACAUUUAAAUGUUUGUGUCAUUCAGACAACAACAAAAAAAAGAGCUCACUUCUUGCUGGAUCAAGGAAGGUUAUAGAGGAGAGUUAGCAGUGAAGUAAAGUAUGAUUUUAUUUAACAUAUGGAUGUGCGCAAGCAAAAAUAUAGCUUGGGUUUUGUAACCAGUUGGUUAGAUACAGCGUGUCUUUGUGUUCUUGGUUACUGUUAAUAAUUAGGACUGUGUUGCUGCUUCCUUUGGACUGUUCAUUUGGUUAUUUGAAUUAUUACUCAAUAGGUUGAUUUUUUUUUCCUCUUUAAAUGUCAGUAGUCUUUAUUUCUCAAGACUAAGAAGAUCUGAUUUCCAAGAGACUUUAUUAAUAUCAGAGCAUACUUUGUAUCCAUUAGUAGUUACUGAAUACAGGAAAAAUUGGAUAAUGAUAGAGAAAUUCUGUUUUUG